This 66-nucleotide transfer RNA is filed under the name Neuroctenus yunnanensis. RNAcentral's name for it is "tRNA-Cys". The record is from RNAcentral. Lineage: Eukaryota; Metazoa; Arthropoda; Insecta; Hemiptera; Aradidae.
GGCUUUAUAUUCUAAUGUAAAUGAUUUUAGAUUGCAAAUCUGAAGGUGCUUAUUUAGCUAAAGCUU